CUAUGCGCCUUGCCAGCCCGCUCAGGUGUGCCAGCAGCCGCGGUAAUACGUAGGGGGCAAGCGUUAUCCGGAUUUACUGGGUGUAAAGGGAGCGUAGACGGCGAUGCAAGUCUGAAGUGAAAGGCGGGGGCCCAACCCCCGGACUGCUUUGGAAACUGUAUGGCUGGAGUGCAGGAGAGGCAGGCGGAAUUCCUGGUGUAGCGGUGAAAUGCGUAGAUAUCAGGGGGAACACCGGUGGCGAAGGCGGCCUGCUGGACUGCAACUGACGUUGAGCCCGAAAGCGUGGGGAGCAAACAGG
Molecule: ribosomal RNA, 298 nt
Filed under: uncultured bacterium
Lineage: Bacteria
Description: partial 16S ribosomal RNA
Rfam family: Bacterial small subunit ribosomal RNA
Source: RNAcentral